This 497-nucleotide ribosomal RNA is filed under the name uncultured bacterium. RNAcentral describes it as "partial 16S ribosomal RNA". It matches the Rfam family "Bacterial small subunit ribosomal RNA", at positions 28 to 507 of the family's 1533-position model. The record is from RNAcentral.
GAUGAACGCUGGCGGCGUGCCUAAUACAUGCAAGUCGAGCGAACAGACGAGGAGCUUGCUCCUCUGACGUUAGCGGCGGACGGGUGAGUAACACGUGGAUAACCUACCUAUAAGACUGGGAUAACUUCGGGAAACCGGAGCUAAUACCGGAUAAUAUAUUGAACCGCAUGGUUCAAUAGUGAAAGACGGUUUUGCUGUCACUUAUAGAUGGAUCCGCGCCGCAUUAGCUAGUUGGUAAGGUAACGGCUUACCAAGGCAACGAUGCGUAGCCGACCUGAGAGGGUGAUCGGCGACACUGGAACUGGGACGCGGACCAGACUCCUGCGGGAGGCAGCAGUAGGGAAUCGGCCGCAAUGGGCGAAAGCUUGACGGAGCAACGCCGCGUGAGAGAUGAAGGUCUUCGGAGCGUAAAACUCUGUUAUUAGGGAAGAACAAAUGUGUAAGUAACUAUGCACGUCUUGACGGUACCUAAUCAGAAAGCCACGGCUAACUACGUG